GGGCGCAAGCCUGAUCCAGCCAUGCCGCGUGCAGGAUGACGGUCCUAUGGAUUGUAAACUGCUUUUAUACAGGAAGAAACACUCCCUCGUGAGGGAGCUUGACGGUACUGUAGGAAUAAGGAUCGGCUAACUCCGUGCCAGCAGCCGCGGUAAUACGGAGGAUCCAAGCGUUAUCCGGAAUCAUUGGGUUUAAAGGGUCCGUAGGCGGCUUAAUAAGUCAGUGGUGAAAGCCCUACGCUUAACGUAGGAACGGCCAUUGAUACUGUUAGGCUUGAAUUAUUAGGAAGUAACUAGAAUAUGUAGUGUAGCGGUGAAAUGCUUAGAGAUUACAUGGAAUACCAAUUGCGAAGGCAGGUUACUACUAAUGGAUUGACGCUGAUGGACGAAAGCGUGGGUAGCGAACAGGAUUAGAUACCCUGGUAGUCCACGCCGUAAACGAUGGAUACUAGCUGUUGGGAGCAAUCUCAGUGGCUAAGCGAAAGUGAUAAGUAUCCCACCUGGGGAGUACGUUCGCAAGAAUGAAACUCAAAUGAAUU
Molecule: ribosomal RNA, 536 nt
Filed under: uncultured Bacteroidota bacterium
Lineage: Bacteria; Pseudomonadati; Bacteroidota
Description: bacterial SSU rRNA
Rfam family: Bacterial small subunit ribosomal RNA
Source: RNAcentral